GUCAAAUCAUCAUGCCCCUUAUGUCUUGGGCUUCAAGCAUGCUACAAUGGUCGGUACAAUGGGUUGCGAAACUGUGAGGUGGAGCGAAUCCCAAAAAGCCGGCCUCAGUUCGGAUUGGGGUCUGCAACUCGACCCCAUGAAGUCGGAGUCGCUAGUAAUCGCAGAUCAGCAACGCUGCGGUGAAUACGUUCCCGGGCCUU
Molecule: ribosomal RNA, 200 nt
Filed under: uncultured organism
Description: partial small subunit ribosomal RNA
Rfam family: Bacterial small subunit ribosomal RNA
Source: RNAcentral